This 263-nucleotide ribosomal RNA is filed under the name uncultured Acinetobacter sp. RNAcentral describes it as "partial 16S ribosomal RNA". It matches the Rfam family "Bacterial small subunit ribosomal RNA", at positions 355 to 608 of the family's 1533-position model. The record is from RNAcentral. Lineage: Bacteria; Pseudomonadati; Pseudomonadota; Gammaproteobacteria; Moraxellales; Moraxellaceae.
UGGGGAAUAUUGGACAAUGGGGGACCGUAGCAUCCAGCCAUGCCGCGCUGUGUGAAGAAGGCCUUAUGGUUGUAAAGCACUUUAAGCGAGGAGGAGGCUCUUUUGGUUAAUACCCAAGAUGAGUGGACGUUACUCGCAGAAUAAGCACCGGCUAACUCUGUGCCAGCAGCCGCGGUAAUACAGAGGGUGCGAGCGUUAAUCGGAUUUACUGGGCGUAAAGCGUGCGUAGGCGGCUUUUUAAGUCGGAUGUGAAAUCCCCGAGC